This is an RNA transcript of Stomoxys calcitrans (stable fly), 759 nucleotides long. RefSeq lists it as uncharacterized. The record is from RefSeq and is a predicted model, not a curated record. The transcript is spliced from 2 exons. Lineage: Eukaryota; Metazoa; Arthropoda; Insecta; Diptera; Muscidae.
UCAUCAAAAUUUCAAGCUUUAGAAAAAAUUUAAUUGAAAUUUUGUCUUAAGACAUUUUGUCUCUAUGAAGAAUUUCGAUCAAAAUCCGUACAAAAGUCGCAGGGAAAUAGUUGGGCAACUUUUUGGAAAGAACGGUUGAGAAAUGCGCUAGCGAACGAAUGAACGAAUAUGGUGAACUGACUUAACCCAUAAACAUCGAAUGCCAGAAUAAUACAAAAGAAAUGCCAAUUUCAAAAAUAGACGAAACAAAAGCAAUGAUGUACAAGAGAAACAGAAUCUGUCUCACAAAUCACCAACUCCUUAUUUUCGCGAUAGAGAACGAGAGCAAGAUCGAAUACGACACCUUUAUGGGUCUGAUUCAAAAGUAAAAGCAUACAAAACUAAAGAACAAACCAUCAGAAGAUCACAAACUUCUCGAUGCAAUGGAAAUAAUACAAAUAUCGCCCGACAUCAACCAGCACAUCAUCAGACCAAAAUCCGUCAUGGAAUAGCCAAUCACGAACACUGCUGUCAUUGCAAUGCUAAUAUGCCGCCUCCUGUAAUUUUUGUUCCUGUGCCGCAUUAUCACUGGCCUUCAUUUUAUGUACCACGCUUUCAGAUGGGGAUGCCUACUUCGCCAAAUAGGAUGAUGGGUCCAUCGAAUCGUCCACGAUUUGCUGCUAAUAACAACAGACCUGAACUAAAAAAAUUUUAUCCGUAUUAAAAUGUUAGUUCAUCACAACAAAACUUUAAUGUUAUUAUUGAAAUAAAUGAUUUUUG